Ictidomys tridecemlineatus (thirteen-lined ground squirrel) is the source of this 68-nucleotide non-coding RNA. NCBI's taxonomy places the organism in Eukaryota, Metazoa, Chordata, Mammalia, Rodentia, Sciuridae. The record is from Rfam.
GGAGUUGUAGCUCAGUGGUAGAGCACUUGCCUCACAAGUGUGAGGCCCUGGGUUCAAUCCUAGCACCA